Molecule: ribosomal RNA, 1178 nt
Filed under: Escherichia coli
Lineage: Bacteria; Pseudomonadati; Pseudomonadota; Gammaproteobacteria; Enterobacterales; Enterobacteriaceae
Description: partial 23S ribosomal RNA
Rfam family: Bacterial large subunit ribosomal RNA
Source: RNAcentral
CAUAGGUUAAUGAGGCGAACCGGGGGAACUGAAACAUCUAAGUACCCCGAGGAAAAGAAAUCAACCGAGAUUCCCCCAGUAGCGGCGAGCGAACGGGGAGCAGCCCAGAGCCUGAAUCAGUGUGUGUGUUAGUGGAAGCGUCUGGAAAGGCGCGCGAUACAGGGUGACAGCCCCGUACACAAAAAUGCACAUACUGUGAGCUCGAUGAGUAGGGCGGGACACGUGGUAUCCUGUCUGAAUAUGGGGGGACCAUCCUCCAAGGCUAAAUACUCCUGACUGACCGAUAGUGAACCAGUACCGUGAGGGAAAGGCGAAAAGAACCCCGGCGAGGGGAGUGAAAAAGAACCUGAAACCGUGUACGUACAAGCAGUGGGAGCACGCUUAGGCGUGUGACUGCGUACCUUUUGUAUAAUGGGUCAGCGACUUAUAUUCUGUAGCAAGGUUAACCGAAUAGGGGAGCCGAAGGGAAACCGAGUCUUAACUGGGCGUUAAGUUGCAGGGUAUAGACCCGAAACCCGGUGAUCUAGCCAUGGGCAGGUUGAAGGUUGGGUAACACUAACUGGAGGACCGAACCGACUAAUGUUGAAAAAUUAGCGGAUGACUUGUGGCUGGGGGUGAAAGGCCAAUCAAACCGGGAGAUAGCUGGUUCUCCCCGAAAGCUAUUUAGGUAGCGCCUCGUGAAUUCAUCUCCGGGGGUAGAGCACUGUUUCGGCAAGGGGGUCAUCCCGACUUACCAACCCGAUGCAAACUGCGAAUACCGGAGAAUGUUAUCACGGGAGACACACGGCGGGUGCUAACGUCCGUCGUGAAGAGGGAAACAACCCAGACCGCCAGCUAAGGUCCCAAAGUCAUGGUUAAGUGGGAAACGAUGUGGGAAGGCCCAGACAGCCAGGAUGUUGGCUUAGAAGCAGCCAUCAUUUAAAGAAAGCGUAAUAGCUCACUGGUCGAGUCGGCCUGCGCGGAAGAUGUAACGGGGCUAAACCAUGCACCGAAGCUGCGGCAGCGACGCUGAUGCGUUGUUGGGUAGGGGAGCGUUCUGUAAGCCUGCGAAGGUGUGCUGUGAGGCAUGCUGGAGGUAUCAGAAGUGCGAAUGCUGACAUAAGUAACGAUAAAGCGGGUGAAAAGCCCGCUCGCCGGAAGACCAAGGGUUCCUGUCCAACGUUAAUCGGGGCAGGGUG